CCUACGGGAGGCAGCAGUGAGGAAUAUUGGACAAUGGGGGGAACCCUGAUCCAGCGACGCCGCGUGAGUGAAGAAGUUUUUCGGUAUGGAAAGCUCUAUCAGCAGGGAAGAAAAUGACGGUACCUGACUACGCAUCCGCGGCUAACUACGUGCCAGCCGCCGCGGGAAUACGUAGGGGGCAAGCGUUAUCCGGAUUUACUGGGUGUAAAGGGAGCGUAGACGGUGCAGCAAGUCUGAUGUGAAAGGUCGGGGCCCAAACCCGGGACUGCAGUGGAAACUGUUGAACUGGAGUACGGGAGAGGUAAGCGGAAUGCGUAGUGUAGCGGUGAAAUGCGUAGAUAUCAGGAGGAACACCAGUGGCGAAGGCGGCUUACCGGACUGUAACUGACGUUGAGGCUCGAAAGCGUGGGGAGCAAACAGGAUUAGAUACCCCUGUAGUC
Molecule: ribosomal RNA, 440 nt
Filed under: uncultured bacterium
Lineage: Bacteria
Description: partial 16S ribosomal RNA
Rfam family: Bacterial small subunit ribosomal RNA
Source: RNAcentral